RNAcentral lists this ribosomal RNA (811 nucleotides) under Eudorylaimus sp. MRR-2011. RNAcentral's name for it is "SSU rRNA". It matches the Rfam family "Eukaryotic small subunit ribosomal RNA", at positions 154 to 966 of the family's 1831-position model. Lineage: Eukaryota; Metazoa; Nematoda; Enoplea; Dorylaimida; Qudsianematidae. The record is from RNAcentral.
AAUUCUAGAGCUAAUACAUGCAAUAAAGCUCCGCCCGCAAGGAACGAGCGCAUUUAUUAGAAUAAAAACCAAUCGGGUUUUGGCCCGUAAUUUGGUGAAUCUGAAUAACUUUGCCAAUCGCACAGUCCUAGUACUGGCGAUGUAUCUUUCAAGUGUCUGCCUUAUCAACUUUCGAUGGUACGCUAUACGCCUACCAUGGUAGUAACGGGUAACGGAGAAUAAGGGUUCGACUCCGGAGAGGGAGCCUGAGAAACGGCUACCACAUCCAAGGAAGGCAGCAGGCGCGCAAAUUACCCACUUCCAGAACGGAGAGGUAGUGACGAAAAAUAACGAGACAGUCCUCUUCGAGGUCUGUCAUCGGAAUGGGUACAAUUUAAAUCCUUUAACGAGGAUCUAUUGGAGGGCAAGUCUGGUGCCAGCAGCCGCGGUAAUUCCAGCUCCAAUAGCGUAUAUUAAAGUUGUUGCGGUUAAAACGCUCGUAGUUGGAUUUGCGGCCUCGAAGAACGGUCCCCCGAAAGGGCGGUCACUGUCUCUUCUAGCCUAAAGUCGAGUUGUCUCUAGGUGCUCUUUAUUGAGUGCUUAGAGUGACUAGAACGUUUACUUUGAAAAAAUUAGAGUGCUUAAAGCAGACGAAAUAGUCUGAAUAAGGUGCAUGGAAUAAUGGAAUAGGACCUCGGUUCUAUUUUGUUGGUUUUCGGAGCCCGAGGUAAUGAUUAAGAGGAACAGACGGGGGCAUUCGUAUUCCGGCGCUAGAGGUGAAAUUCUUGGACCGCCGGAAGACGAACAACUGCGAAAGCAUUUGCCAAGAAUG